Molecule: ribosomal RNA, 433 nt
Filed under: uncultured bacterium
Lineage: Bacteria
Description: partial 16S ribosomal RNA
Rfam family: Bacterial small subunit ribosomal RNA
Source: RNAcentral
AACGAACGCUGGCGGCAUGCCUAACACAUGCAAGUCGAACGAGACCUUCGGGUCUAGUGGCGCACGGGUGCGUAACGCGUGGGAACCUGCCCUUAGGUUCGGAAUAACUCCCCGAAAGGGGUGCUAAUACCGGAUAAUGUCUUCGGACCAAAGAUUUAUCGCCUUUGGAUGGGCCCGCGUUGGAUUAGCUAGUUGGUAGGGUAAAAGCCUACCAAGGCGGCGAUCCAUAGCUGGUCUGAGAGGAUGAUCAGCCACACUGGGACUGAGACACGGCCCAGACUCCUACGGGAGGCAGCAGUGGGGAAUAUUGGACAAUGGGCGAAAGCCUGAUCCAGCAAUGCCGCGUGAGUGAUGAGGGCCUUAGGGUUGUAAAGCUCUUUUACCCGGGAUGAUAAUGACAGUACCGGGAGAAUAAGCUCCGGCUAACUCCGUG